RNAcentral lists this ribosomal RNA (259 nucleotides) under Meloidogyne incognita (southern root-knot nematode). RNAcentral describes it as "partial 16S ribosomal RNA". The record is from RNAcentral. Lineage: Eukaryota; Metazoa; Nematoda; Chromadorea; Rhabditida; Meloidogynidae.
AUUAUUUUUUUAGAUUCUUUUUUAUUGUUGAAAAAAUUAAAAACAAAUUGUUUUUUACAAUAAUUAAAAUUUAUAAUAUUUCAAUUUUUAAUUUUUAGUUUUAAAUAAAAAUUACAAAUAGGAAAAAUAAAAAAAUUUUGUUAUAAAUUAAAUUAAUUUAUUUAUAUUAAAAAUAUUUUUUAUAAUUUUUAUUUUUUUUAUUUUUUCAAAAAAAAAAUAAUUUAAUUAUAAUUAUUUAUUUAACUUUAAUAAUUAAAUA